Molecule: long non-coding RNA, 1078 nt
Filed under: Salvia miltiorrhiza (redroot sage)
Lineage: Eukaryota; Viridiplantae; Streptophyta; Magnoliopsida; Lamiales; Lamiaceae
Description: long non-coding RNA (SMIL_LNC004153)
Source: RNAcentral
CUAUUUUUCUUUAAAUAAGGCCCAAACAUUUUAUUUUAAAAUAGUCAAUCAAUUUAAAAUAAAGGCCCAUCAGUUAAUUAAAUUAAAAGGAGGCCCAAAGCCCAUUCUCAUGCUAACUCCAACAUAAACACACACUAAAACACAUUUAAACACACACACUCAGCCACAACUUCACACACCCACACACGCACCCUCUCAUCUCACUCUCUCUCUCGGACGGUCUGUCCGCCGCCGCUGCCGUUCAACGGCGCCGUCGCCGCCGGCGAGCGGCGCGGCUCUCCCUUCUUCGGCAUCUCUCCUCUCCCUGACCCCAGAUCCUCUUUCUAGACUGCCGAGACAAGGCGGCAGACGCAACCACCGCGGUGCGCCGCCGCUGCCCCUGUUCUCCCUCUCCCUCUCUCGGCCUCCGGCGAAGCAACCACCGCGGUGCCGCCGCCGUGAAGCAGGUAAACCCUAACUCCCUCUCUACUUUCCUCAUCUUCUUCCCCUUUCAAAUUAAAACUGAAAACUCCUCUCUCUCUUCCGAUUUGGCUGAAUCGGAGCAACGGCGACGUCACGGCUGUCACGUUACCGCCGCCGCCGCCGACGACGAGCCACCAUGGCUCCGCCGCCGACCGCCGUCGAAAACAGGUAACCCUAAUUUCCCUUCUCUCCUUUCCAUUUUCUCCUACCACCUUCUUCAUUUUAAUUAAAAGCUGAAAACCCUCUCCUCUUUCCCCUUCUUGGCAAAUCGGAGACAACGGCAGUUUCGCCGCCGCCGCUCCGACGCCGGCGACGUGCCUCCGCGGCAGCCGCCUCCCUGAACCCUUCUCACUUCUCACACACGAAUCAGGGGAUUCAGCCCCGAUUUCAUUCAACACAUAGAAAUAGGCUUUUUACUGAAUUCAUUUUCAAAUAUUGUAAAUGUUCUUCAAUCGAGCAUACUGCACUUAAACAUUCAUUCUUGUAAUUGCAACCCUUCAUUUGUAUAUGUAAAUUCUGUUUAUAAACAGGCUGCAUAUGCACAUAAAAUGGAAUAUGAGAAAUUCGUAUGUGUUGGUGGUUCUCUGUUAGAAUUUCUAAGAUUAAAACAAGAAUU